RNAcentral lists this ribosomal RNA (301 nucleotides) under uncultured bacterium. Its description in RNAcentral is "partial 16S ribosomal RNA". It matches the Rfam family "Bacterial small subunit ribosomal RNA", at positions 509 to 808 of the family's 1533-position model. The record is from RNAcentral.
CAGUCGCCACGGUAAUACGAAGGGGGCUAGCGUUGUUCGGAAUCACUGGGCGUAAAGCGCACGUAGGCGGACUUUUAAGUCAGGGGUGAAAUCCCAAGGCUCAACCUUGGAACUGCCUUUGAUACUGGAAGUCUUGAGUUCGGGAGAGGUGAGUGGAACUGCGAGUGUAGAGGUGAAAUUCGUAGAUAUUCGCAAGAACACCAGUGGCGAAGGCGGCUCACUGGCCCGAUACUGACGCUGAGGUGCGAAAGCGUGGGAGCAAACAGGAUUAGAUACCCGUGUAGUCCCUGUCUCUUAUACA